CAAGGGCUGUACAGUUCCUGGAGCUGGGCAGUCUUCUCAGAGUGGAGCCUGGUAACCGCGACCUCCCCGCCAGUUCCUGUGUGUUGCUGGCUGGAAAGGGGUAGUUGACAAACUCCCACCCAGCACAGUAUUUAUGUCGGUCAAAAAUGGAAAACUAUGUGUCCGGGCACGGCCCAGGAAGGAGGAUUCCUUCAGGCCAAGAGCAGCCUAGCAAUAUGGCGCAACCCCACCUCUGUAGUCCAACCUCAGCCUCCCAGCUACUUGAACCCCAAGAUUCAAGGCUCCAAUGAGCUGUGAUCUCACCACAGCACUCCUGCCUGCGAGACUGAGAGACCAAAGACCAACAAACUACCACAGCCACCAGUUCCGGAACCUGCCAAUGAUGGGCAACGGAAAGUGAGGGAGUUGAGAAGUGGAAUAAUCAUAUCGCUGAUCUAUGUAAACAAGUUGAAGAAUUGUCUGACAGAAAAUACAUGAACUUGUGAAUUCAACACGUGAAGAUUUACAACUUGAUAAACCAGCUUCAGGAGUAAAGGAAGAAUGGUAUGCCAGAAUCACUAAAUGAAGAAAGAUGGUGGAUCAGCUUUUCUGCAAAAAAAUUUGCUGAAGCCUUGGGGAGCACUGAAGCCAAGGUUCUACUGUACCAAAAAUUUGAAGGCCAUGCGAAUGAUCUGUAUGCGGAAGGACUACCAGAAAACAUUCCUUUCAGAAGUCCCUCGUGGUAUGGAAUCCCAAGGCUGGAAAACAUCAUUCAAGUGGGCAAUCGAAUUAAAUUUCUUAUUAAAAGUAACUCCAGUCAGACUCCAUUGUCUCCAGGUCGACUUUCGUCAUCAUCCACAACUCCUCCACACAAGCCCUGAACACGUGUCCAUACCUGAACUAGUUAUUUCCUACUCGCCUCCUGGAAUGGCUAAUAAAAUAAACACUAAAGCUUUGCAGUCCCCAAAAAGACCAUGAAGCCCUGAGAGUAAUGGAAAGGUUCCUGAAAUUGAGGUCACUGUGGAAGCCUCAGCCGAGAUGUCUCACCCCACUCUCUCUGAUGCAACAAGAAGCCCCUGGGGAACGUUUCAGUCCCACUCUGUACUUCUGUCACAUGCUCAUCACAGUCUGAGCCACCUAAGCUGAAGAUUCCCUUGAGAACAAGGGCUAGCCUGUGAUUUCGUGACCUUUCUUCCAUUUGUGGUUCUUGCCAAGUGGAAUUUAAAUGACCUUUUAUCAAGAUGGAUAAACCCAAGUUUCCCAGUGCCAGAAUAUAGAAAAUGGAUGGAUAACUGAAUCUACCAUGAAAGACUUCAGAGUCCAGGAAGAGAGACUGACUGGGCAACAUCUUAUUCAGAAACAGGACCUUGCUGUGUCACUCAGGAUGGAGUUCAGUGGUCCUAUCAUGGCUCAUUGUAGCCUCAAACUCCCAGGCUCAAGCGAUCCUCCCACCUCAUCCCUCCCAGUAGCUGGGACUAUAGGU
RNAcentral lists this long non-coding RNA (1462 nucleotides) under Homo sapiens (human). RNAcentral's name for it is "non-protein coding lnc-VKORC1L1-5:6". Lineage: Eukaryota; Metazoa; Chordata; Mammalia; Primates; Hominidae. The record is from RNAcentral.